This 257-nucleotide unclassified non-coding RNA is filed under the name uncultured Penicillium. Its description in RNAcentral is "partial contains 5.8S ribosomal RNA, internal transcribed spacer 2, and large subunit ribosomal RNA". The stretch from base 1 to 52 matches the Rfam family "5.8S ribosomal RNA", at positions 103 to 154 of the family's 154-position model. The record is from RNAcentral. Lineage: Eukaryota; Fungi; Ascomycota; Eurotiomycetes; Eurotiales; Aspergillaceae.
AACGCACAUUGCGCCCCUUGGUAUUCCGAGGGGCAUGCCUGUCCGAGCGUCAUUGCUGCCCUCAAGCACGGCUUGUGUGUUGGGCCUCCGUCCUCCUCCCGGGGGACGGGCCCGAAAGGCAGCGGCGGCACCGUGUCCGGUCCUCGAGCGUAUGGGGCUUUGUCACCCGCUCUGUAGGCCCGGCCGGCGCCUGUCGACCCCAAUCUAAAUUUUUUCAGGUUGACCUCGGAUCAGGUAGGGAUACCCGCUGAACUUAA